This is a long non-coding RNA of Daphnia magna, 458 nucleotides long. RefSeq lists it as uncharacterized. NCBI's taxonomy places the organism in Eukaryota, Metazoa, Arthropoda, Branchiopoda, Diplostraca, Daphniidae. The record is from RefSeq and is a predicted model, not a curated record. The transcript is spliced from 2 exons.
UUCGACCUUUGGCUUGCUCAAGGCAUCCCCUUUUUUGCAAGGGGGGAAUGCCAUAGUGAACCAACCAGGGUUCUAUGACUCUGCUGUAAUAAUAGACCUCUUGCAGAAUGCGGAUAGCAGGAUUCCUGUAGUCCGGCAAUGUCUCUAUCCGCCAUCGUAGGAAAACCACACCCUUUUUUAACAGGGUGUCUUAUGGGAUUAUUUUUUCUAGUUGAAUUAUUUCAAAAGUGGUUAAUGUGAUGACUUGGUUUCAACUGAAUGUAUUUCUAGGUGACUGGCAAGACACCCAUUACAGAGCCUGGGGUUGGAGGGGUGAGCUGGUUUGUUCCCAAGAGGAUCUUGGCAAUCGGUGAAGCGGGUGAUCCCACGGUUGGUCUCAAGCGGUCGAGUCAUCACAGUUAGUGAUAGAAAAUAGUUAGACACAAGAUCUCGUCUGCUGUUGUUUAUAGUGUUAACAA